This 406-nucleotide ribosomal RNA is filed under the name uncultured bacterium. Its description in RNAcentral is "partial 16S ribosomal RNA". It matches the Rfam family "Bacterial small subunit ribosomal RNA", at positions 30 to 526 of the family's 1533-position model. The record is from RNAcentral.
AUUGAACGCUGGCGGCAGGCCUAACACAUGCAAGUCGAACGAGUGGCGGACGGGUGAGUAAUGUAUGGGCAAAUGCCUGAUGGAGGGGGAUAACUACUGGAAACGGUAGAUAAUACCGCAUACAAUCAGAUGAUCCCAGAUGGGAUUAGCUGGUUGGUGGGGUAACGGCUCACAAAGGCGACGAUCCCUAGCUGGUCUGAGAGGAUGACCAGCCACCAUGGAACUGAGACACGGGCCAGACUCCUACGGUAGUCAGCAGUGGGGAAGAUUGCAUAAUGGGCGCAAGCCUGAUGCAGCCAUGCCGCGUGUAUGAAGAAGGCCUUCGGGUUGUAAAGUACUUUCAGCGGGGAGGCGUUACCCGCAGAAGAAGCACCGGCUAACUCCGUGCCAGCAGCCGCGGUAAUUC